RNAcentral lists this transfer RNA (84 nucleotides) under Peptoclostridium litorale DSM 5388. It matches the Rfam family "tRNA". Rfam says of the family: Transfer RNA (tRNA) molecules are approximately 80 nucleotides in length. Their secondary structure includes four short double-helical elements and three loops (D, anti-codon, and T loops). The record is from Rfam by way of RNAcentral. Lineage: Bacteria; Bacillati; Bacillota; Clostridia; Peptostreptococcales; Peptoclostridiaceae.
GCCGAAGUGGUGGAAUUGGCAGACGCGCUGGACUCAAAAUCCUGUGGUAGCAAUACCGUACGGGUUCGACCCCCGUCUUCGGCA